GUUUCUUCAAUAGGUGGUGCUGGGAAAACUGGAUGGCUAUAUGUAAAAGAAUGAAAUUAGAACAUUCUCUAACAUCAUAUAAAAAAAUAAACUCAAAAUGUAUUAAAGACCUAAAUGUAAGAACGGAUACUACAAAACUCCUACAGGAAGACACUGGCUGAACACUCUUUGACAUAAAUCACAGCAAGAUU
Molecule: non-coding RNA, 191 nt
Organism: Vicugna pacos (alpaca)
Lineage: Eukaryota; Metazoa; Chordata; Mammalia; Artiodactyla; Camelidae
Source: RefSeq, a predicted model, not a curated record